CUCCCGUCCGCGCGGUCCGCCCGAAGUCACGAAGCGCCGGCGCCGCCCACUGCCUUCGAUAGGCCGACUGUCCGAGUCGCCGGAGGCCGGAGACCCGGCUGCAGCCUGAGCAGCGAAGGCCGGAGCGCCGGCUGCAGGCUGCAGCGGGGGGCGACUGAAGCCCCAGGCUGACAGCUGGCCAGGCCGCCACCGCCACUGCCGAGGCCCCAGGCGGCCAGCGGGGCCCAUCCUCCUUGGCCGUUGGGUGGCCUCUCUAGUGCCCGUCGGCGCCAUGGCGGCCCUCGUGCCAUGGAUCCUACGGCGGCGACCUGUCCGCUCUGCCACGUCUCUGGUCUCCAUUCGUGAUUCAUGGCAUCGAAUGUGCGGCUCCUCUUCCUCAUCUCCUGCAGCGUCGUUCGAGUGUUUGUGGGGAUGGUUUGGGCCAGAGGAACACAGGCGGAGGUGGAGGCCGUGGUUUCAGCAGCCCGUGAGGUGCGGGAGCACGGGGAUCACACUCGAUACGGACGGCAAGUUUGCGAGGUUCGGGGUCGGCGACACGGGCGUCGCCAAACAGAAGGGGAGGCAGCAGUCGCCUCCAAAGAAGAAGAUGUCCAGGAAGGCCAAGGUCAACCAGCUUAAGUGGUACCGCCUCAAGGCCAAGAAGAAGAUGAAGUCCCCCAACCCCGAAGUUAGGAUCAGAUACAAGCUUGAAAAGGCUAAGAGGAAGGAGGAAUGGUUGAUUGAGAAGCUGAGGAAGUAUGAUGUCCCGAGGACACCGGAGCCAGUUCAUGACCCUGAGAUUCUUACUGAGGAGGAGAAGUUUUAUCUCAAGCGAACUGGGGAGAAGAAGAAGAAUUAUGUUCCUGUUGGGAGGAGAGGGGUUUUUGGUGGUGUGGUUCUCAACAUGCACCUCCAUUGGAAGAAUCAUGAGACUGUGAAGGUGGUUUGCAAGCCUUGUCGACCUGGACAAGUUUACGAGUAUGCUGAGGAAUUAACAAGGCUCAGCAAAGGCACAAUCAUUGAUAUUAAACCCAAUAAUACAAUUAUGUUUUAUCGGGGGAAGAACUAUGUGCAACCACAGGUGAUGUCACCUCCAGAUACUCUUUCAAAGCAGAAGGCCUUAGAGAAAUAUAGAUAUCUACAAUCCCUUGAGCAUACCAGCCAGUUUAUUGAGAAGCUAGAGAAGGAGCUUGAAGAUUACAAGAAGCAUGUUGCUUUAUUCAAGAACCGUGAGGGAGUUGCUUCUGAGAAAAUCAGCAACGAACAUUCCACUGUUGACGAUCCUGCAACUACCUUAGAUUCUAAAUGAGCUCUUUGGACAUGCUGGCAUAAUAGAUCUUUCAGUAGUGAAGGCUUUUCACUUCUCAAGCUUCCUUGCUACAUAGAAGACAAUGAAUUGUAGUUUUGGAGCUGGAAUAGUACUGCAGGUCCCUCUCAGAAAUAAAGACGUUUACUGUGAUUGCAAAGGAUCGUGGUCUACACUGCCACAGGUACUGGGCUGUUCCUGAGAAGAUGUGCAUGUGCAGAAGGACAAUGAUGACUUUAAGGAUUGGCUCGAUAAAAAGGGCCUGCCUUGCCAACACUAAGUGGGAGCUCAGAAGUUAAUUUUCCCACUAACUCUGAUCCUAAGACAGGCACUGGAUCUUCCUGAGGCCGGCGUCACAUCAAGCCUAAGCGACCUCUGCUGAACCCAACAAGAUCAACUACCAAUGGCAGCUACGAAAAACAUUGCUAAAUGGCUGGUAGGUUUGACAGAUAAGCUCAAGCGAACAGGCUGACCCGAUUCAAGGGAACACUUGGAAAGAUGCAAAGUCUGUAAUUCUGAAGAUUCUGAUCACGAUCCAAGGGUGGUCGGUGCUCUGCCUGCCAGGAUUUCAGCUCCAAGCUUGCUGCCUUGAAGAAGGAUAGCAGUCAGCCCAGCAAGGUUGACAUGCUGCUGAAUGGAGAAGAUUUCUAUUCUUGAAUGCUAUGAAUUGGAAGGACAAGACUUUGCAGGCUGAAGCAGAAGAGUUGCUCUCCAGGAGUUCGUCUGUUGAGGAGGCGGUUGAAUCUGGGAAAUGGCUGAAUUUAGCUGCGCUUGGUGUUUCCUGGGAUAUGUGAGGGAGUUGGAGUUUGUUUUGUGCUGGGUUCUCUGGGUGGUUCUUAGGCCCUGUUCGCUUGAACUUAUCUGUCAAAUCUACCAUCCAUUCAAUAAUGUUUUUCUCUCAUGACAAAUCAGUAAACUUAUCUGCCGAAUUUGUGUGUUGGAUAUGAUAGGUGGGUGUGUUCCACCUGGAUGCUGUCAA
Molecule: RNA transcript, 2264 nt
Organism: Sorghum bicolor (sorghum)
Lineage: Eukaryota; Viridiplantae; Streptophyta; Magnoliopsida; Poales; Poaceae
Exons: 9
Source: RefSeq, a predicted model, not a curated record